UUUGAAUAUGUUCUGAGUUAUCCAAUCAAAAAUCUUGUUACAUCUGAUUUUUAAAUGUUAAGUUUUGUUAUAAAUCUGUCUAUUAGCUUCUGAUUAUUUCAAUGUUGUAUUGUAAAUCAACUAUCCUUAGUAUUCAUUCCAUUGCAUUAACUUCUAAUUGACAUUGAAACCUUUUUAAUAUGAAAUAUAUUUUCAUGCAUCAAUUAAAUUUUGUCGCACAUUUAGUUAUGAAAUUACUAACAUUUCAUAACAAAAUUGACUUUCAGAUUGUUAUAUUUUUUUGUUCACUACUGUCAAAUUUCCAAAUACAUAAAUUGCAAUUUUGAAUUACCUUUUAAAACUGUUGGUAGUAUCAUAUUAAAAAAAGUGAAAAGUUCAUAAAAAAAAAGACCCCAUCUUUUCUGAUAAAGGUUAUGACUUGAUAUCAAGGUCGUAGAACUAAAUUGUAUGAAAUUUAGUUUUACAAUGGAAUAAUAUACAAUUAUUUAUAUUGUAUUUACAAAUAUUUCUUGUUUCGUCUCUGUAUUUUUUAUGAAACAAGUUCCAUUGGCGACACAUUAAUUUGUUCUUUAACAGUAUUUUUCCAUUUUACGCCACUUUGUGAUUAAAUGAUUUUAUUGUACAUAGUAUUCCUAGUGUUGUGACUCCUGUCACUGCCGACAUCAGUAACACUCUGUAAAAACUUAUGUUAUGGUUUUCUUUAUAAAUUAGAAAACAGCAAAUUCAAGAUAUUUUGAAGUUGUAAAGUUCUUCUGUUUCGGUAAAUCCGAUAGGAUUUUUAUUUAGUAUCGUGUAUUUGAAAAUUUUCAUUUUAGGAAGUUGAGAAAUGGUACUUGAUAGUAAUAGUAAACACACACUUUUUGGUUUUAAACCAGAUCUGAAUCCUUUAUUGUGUUAAACAAUUAUUUUGGACAAUCAGACAUAUUAUAUUUUGCAUUUACAUAGAUGUAUCUGCUAAAAAUGGGUGUCCGUGAAAUUUUAAGCAUUUAAUGCACAAUUCAUGUUCACAAAUCAAGAUUCACUGAGUUUUAUGAAGUUUUGGAUAUUUACAUUUUUGAAACAAGAAAUGAGGAAUAAAUUCAUUGUUUACAAACUUCAAGGAUCAAUGUAUGUCUUCACAAUCAUGCUCCAGAUUUAUUUAACAAUCCUUUUGGAAAGAAUAUAAAACCAAAGCAAACAAAUUUGUAAAAGAAAAUUACAAUAAAAAUUAUGUAAAUUAUUUAUUAUCAAUAAUAAUAUAUCAUAAGAGGUCAGAAAAACAACUGAAACAGUGUCUUUUUUUCUAGUCAUUAAUUUUUCAAAAUUUUAUUUCUGUAUUAUUUUAAUAUAUAUUUAGGAAAUGGCAGUUAUUUUUGUAUCAUUAUAUAUAUAUAUAUUUUAUUUUAUUUUCUCCAUUGUUUUUUUUUCACAUUCAAUUUUUUUGUAUUUGCUUUUAGUAUUCAUUAUCCUUGUACUUGUUUUAUGUAAUGCUAGGCUACAAAAAGAUAAAACUACAGUAGUUCAGUAAUUUUCAUAAUCACCAUUUCAAAACCUUAUGAAUAAUAAGUAAUUUUGUGCAAUGAUCGACCAAAAUAUGUAAACAUGCAUCUAGGGUUUACUUUAGUUCUAUCUUUUAAAAGUGUUUUGUUUCCUAUAAAGAAAUUCUGCUUUGAUGAUAGACAUUUGAUACUCAAUUCUAAAUUUAUUCAAUAUUUGUGUAGCUUAGAGUAAAAAAAAUCUGUUUAGUUUUCAAGGACAAUUGUCUGUCAUUGUAAACACUGUGUUAACCUCUAGAUGUCUGUUUUGGCUUAUAUUUUGUUGUUGGGUUACUGGCUCAUUGCUGUAUACUCCACAUCUCUUUUUUAUACAAAAUCUACAUUCAUAGAAAUUCUGUGAUAUAUAGAUUUUGGUAUACAUUUUUUAAUUGUCAAUAAAAGAUUCAUUGUCCUAAUUUUGCAUUAAAUAUUAACUACUGGAUAGUAGCAACCAAAAAUCACUUAAACAAUUCCUUAGAUUUUGAGAUGGUGAAUUUAAGAUUUAUUUUGUAUAACAAAUUACAACUCUUGCUGUGUAUUUUAUCAGUAACCUGUACAUGUAUAUAAACUACACCAGAUAAACCACUCCUGUGUUAAUCCCUGUAUUGUAGACUUAAUUUUAUUAUGUUUUUGCUAACCUUUAUGAGAUAGUUUUACUAAAUGCAUGUUCCAAGAUUUCCAUUUGCCAAAAUUUUUGUAUAAUCCACAAAACUUGACAGUUAUUACUAAGAAACAUAUUUUAAAACAGCUAUUUAUUUUUAUGAAAUAUAUUCAAUGAAUUUUGUAAAUAAACCUUUACUAUUGUGCUUUAUCAAUUCAGUGAUGUGAAUAUUUUUUGUUUCUCCAUGUUAAGUUUGUCACAAAUUUACUGACAUGUAUAUGUAACUUGCCAAAGAAAUAAAAGGUCUUUCCAUCUGUCAAUAUUGUACACACAUAAAACAGCUAUUUUUUUAUGCUCCUACAAGUCGGAAUAAGCAAAAAUUACAAAACAUUAAAAUAACUGUAUUUUACCCACAAAGCUCCCUUGUAUGAUGAGUAGGGAGGGAUGUAAGUUACAAGUGGUUUUGAUUUAUAUCCUGAAGUGCAUACCGUAAAGAAAAAGAAAAAAUGAUCUAGAAACAAAAAUUGUAGUAACGAAAGACAUGAUGUCAAAUGGAGGACUAUAAUUUAAUUUAAAAGAGAAGUUGAAAUGUCAGACCUCUGAAUAAAAUGAGAGCAAUAUGGAUGGAAUGAAGUAAAACAGACCAUUGAAUUAGAAGGCAUACUAAAAAAAAAUAGAAAUCAUAAAAUCAGAACAUAGAUUACUAAUGAUUUUUAAAUAUGAGUGAUUUUGCUUUUUUUGUAAAUGAUAAUAAACUAAAGAAUGAUUUCCAAAGAAAAAAACAUGUCACUUCAAUAAAGUUACAUGGAAAAAACAUACUAGUACAUUGUAAUUAUAAAAAUGUGCAGUUAAAAUCUUGCUUAGUGAAAAAAUUGCCAAAAUAUUUUUAUAUUGAUUUGUAUAUAGACCAAUGAAAAUGUUUUAAAUUAACUGUUUAGUGAUUGUUGCUGGACUUCAUUUAUCUUACAGGGUUCUUCUUUAAAAAAGAUGAAAAUAGUAAUAUAUUAAACAAACAAAAUAUAUAUAUCGUUUUAUUUUGAUGAUACAUAAAUUUUUAUUUUCAAGAGGUCAAUAUUAUAUACAUGACAGCAAGAAAAAAAAUGUUAAGGUUACUCCCAUCAAUUAUGGGGAUCAAAAAUAUAAGAUCUUGACUAGGUUAAGAAGUAGGACAAGUUAUUUGAAAAUGGUCUGGACCUGCGUCAAACUCUUUUCUUUUUAGUUAUGUUAUAAGCAAAAACCUUAAUUUUAAACUUGACUUAAAAAAUGAGAUUAAAGCUUUAAAUGCUUCAAGAUUAUUUUGAGAAUGUCUAUAUGUAUAUUUUGUAUGUAAAUUUCUUGACAACGGUAACCAUGGUGAUAAAAUUUUUAGACAAUAUGUAUGAGCAAUUAUAUUUUGAAGAUAUUGAUUGUUGAAGUUUUAUCUGAUUGAUGAAGUUAUUUUUGUUAAUUUCCAGUGCUAUUUGUUGAUUUUUAUACCAUACAUUGUUAGUGAUAUUUGCUUACCAUUAUGAAACCCUUUGCUGUGGUUUUAGAAAAUGAUUUAUAUAUGUAUAUGAUAAUGACCUGAACUCUUGACCAACCAAUCUUUAUAUCUAUUAUAGAUUCUGAUCUAAUUAUUUAGGUUAUAUAUGUUGAUAAGUGUAGACAAGUGUAAAAAUUGAAAAGUUGAAACCACUUUGAGCUUUUACAGUAGUCAGAUUGGAAAUUUAACCCUGUAUUGACAUAAGCCAUAGAUUAAGGUCUGAUUCAAUUAAUUUAACUGAUUCAAUAAACCAAAUUAAAUUAGUAAAUUUUUGUUAUAAAAAUGUGUUAUACCCUAUCAUAAGUCCUGCAUAUUUGGCAGAUCUUUUUAAUUCAUAAUUCAUGAUGGAAAUAUUAAAAGCAAAAGAGAAAAAAAAGUCCUGUUAAUCAUUUGAAAGUAAACCUGGCAAUAUAUCUUACUGCAAAUAGUACAAGAUCUGAAAUAAUGCAUAUCCCUUUUUAUAUUUACUGUGAAUUUAUUACAAUUGCUAUUUUACAUUUUACAUAUUUUGUUCACAGAUAUAGUCUUCAUUUAUUACUGAAUAUUUUCAAAGCAAAAUAUUUCUUCAAAUUCAAUCCAUUUGAAUUUUUUUUUUUAGAAAAAUACUUCAUAUUGUUUUAUUUUUUUCAUAAUUAUUUUUUCCAGUAGUUAUCCAUUUAUUUUUUAAACUAAAAUAACUAACACCUUUCACCUUUUUUUAUGUAAAUUUAUAGAUAAAUAAAUUAACAAUGCCUAUUUUCACCUAAAAAAAUCAUCAGAUUCACCAUUUUAUAUUGUGUAAGUAUGAGUUCAUACAUCUUUUUGUUACACUGAUAUCUACCAAGAUAACUCAAAAAGAUUUAUCAUUGUAUCAGUACUUUGAAUACUGUGGAUUCAUUAUUAAUCGUUGCAUACCAAUGUGGAUUUUAAGUAAAUGAAUCCACAAUACAGGUGAGCUGCUGCACAUCUUUCAACUUGUCAAAAAAUUAAAACUUGAUAUACUCCAUUAUAGAUCACAAUCUUGUAACAGACACCCCUACAUUAAAUAUUAAAUGACUCCAUUUUAUAUGGCCAUUACAUAUUUAGUGAGUAGGAAUUCAUAUGUCUUCUUGUUACACUGAUAUCUAAGUUAAUACAAAGUAUUUUGAAUACUGGUAUGCUUUUCAGUUGCCAAUAAAAUAUAACUUGAAAUACCCCAUCAUAAAUCACAAUCUUGUAAAAAAUACCCUUACAUAAUUAUAUAUUGAAUGACUCCAUUUUAUUAUGAAUGACUCCAUGUUAUAUGGGUUUACAUCUAUGUAAUUUCUGACAGGGACAAAUUAAGUGUAUUUUUGUCCUGCUUCAAAACAUAUGAGUAAUAUAAAACCAUUUAAUCAGAACUUACAUGUACAUUUAUGGAAUACAUUUAUAUUAUUCUUUCUUCCAUCACUCAUUAAGUAUUUACACUGUAAAUCUAUCUAUACAUUAAUAUACUGUUUUAUUGUUGAAAUAAAUAUA
Molecule: long non-coding RNA, 5113 nt
Filed under: Mytilus galloprovincialis (Mediterranean mussel)
Lineage: Eukaryota; Metazoa; Mollusca; Bivalvia; Mytilida; Mytilidae
Source: RNAcentral